CUCCUCCACCGGUCUGUCUCUUCCAACAUGUUCAUCAAUUUCAUCUUGGGCAGUUUUUAAUGUGUUUGGGUUUGGGAUUGCUUUUUUAAGCUGAUUUUUUGAUUAUUGUGUUUUGAAAUCGUAAAAAAUCUAUUUUAAGUGUUUGGUAAAAAAAUAUUAAAAAGUGAUUUUUUGCGUUUUGUAGACAUCAAAACGUGAUAAUCCAAAAGUAGGUCACCACCUACUGCAGGAAAACGGGAUUUUCCAUCUUAUUUUAUCUCCUCAUAACUACCUCCAAAAUUUACCGCCAUAUACACUGUGGUGCCCUUGAACUCCCGGAGAAGAAGAACGAAUUACGAAAUACACCGGUAUCUCUUUCCCAUCGCCCCAACCAAACACAAGGUGAACCGUAGGCAGUGGCGGAGCUACCUUAUGCCGGGGGGCAACACCCGCUACGGCUUGGGGCGGAAAAAUUUGGAAAAAUUAGUGUAAAUUUCGGAAAAAUUUGAGGUUUUUUCAAUUUCGUUACGGCUUAUUUAUAAAACGUUACGGCUUGGCGGAUUUUCUAGAUCCGCCGCUGACCGUAGGUGCGGUUAUGUGUGUGUGCAAACUGUAUGAAAGAAUGUAUAUGCAAACCAAGUAUAAUGUUACGCGAAUCGAGUACGAAUGGUCUCAUUGAGACCGAUGGUAUGUAUGCUUAGUCAGCGAACCGUGUGUAUCCGUGUAUAUGUAUGCCAAUACGUAGUAUCAUAGCCGUAGGUGCAACUGUAUGUAUGUGUGAAACUGAGUUAUGUGCAGCCGUGUGAAUGAUAAAUAUAUAUGUGCGUAGCCGCAUGUACGUAAAUAUAAGUA
Helianthus annuus (common sunflower) is the source of this 831-nucleotide long non-coding RNA. RefSeq lists it as uncharacterized. The transcript has 2 exons. Lineage: Eukaryota; Viridiplantae; Streptophyta; Magnoliopsida; Asterales; Asteraceae. The record is from RefSeq and is a predicted model, not a curated record.